RNAcentral lists this small RNA (574 nucleotides) under Pongo abelii (Sumatran orangutan). RNAcentral's name for it is "retained intron". The record is from RNAcentral. Lineage: Eukaryota; Metazoa; Chordata; Mammalia; Primates; Hominidae.
AAAUAGGAAAGCUGCAAAACACUGUGGAGUGCUCCCGUGUAAAUAAAAAGAGGAAAAAAAAGUUUCUCAAGUCGCCGCUGCACGACGUCGGGCCGGCGCUGGGGCGGGGGUCUGCGCUCUCCCGAGCGGCCGCGCGCUGGACUUUAUUGUGCCGCAACCAGCCCCAGUUCCCAUUGUUUGUGUUUUUUUCAAAAUAUGGCAAAGGUUCAGGUGAACAAUGUAGUGGUGCUGGAUAACCCUUCUCCUUUCUACAACCCGUUCCAGUUCGAGAUCACCUUCGAGUGCAUCGAGGACCUGUCUGAAGACUUGGAAUGGAAAAUUAUCUAUGUGGGCUCUGCAGAAAGUGAAGAAUACGAUCAAGUUUUAGACUCUGUUUUAGUGGGUCCUGUUCCUGCAGGAAGGCAUAUGUUUGUAUUUCAGGUAAGAUUAUCUUGGUAAAUGUGUAUGCCAAAUAUGUUUCGAAGUAGACUAUAUUAUCUAUUAUCUUAUAACCCUUAUCCCUUUCCUUUUGGGUUAAAGAACUGCUUCUGCUGCAUUCACUUUUUAUCUGUUUCCAUCAUGUUUUAGGCAGUCU